UGUGUUCUUGUUUCUUCUAGGUCAAUGCCAGAUGGGCUGUGAUUUUCUUCUAUUCAUUUACUGCUGUGUCCUGGAGCCUGUCUCAGAGCCAGGAUUGUUCAUUUAAUAGGAUUGUUCUUCAAAGUUGAGCAUGAAAAAGAAUCGUCUGGAGAGUUGAAGCAUCACCAGAGAUGCUGGUUCAGUGAUGAUGGAAUGUUUGCAAACCAACCAUCUGACAGACGAGGCCGAUGCUGCUGGCCUGGAAUUUCAUCCGUCAAUGGAAAAGAUCUUCUGGGACAGUUGAAUAUCCAGGGCCUGCAAAGACCACUGAUGAUCUCAAAAAGUGCAUGUCC
Molecule: long non-coding RNA, 332 nt
Organism: Ochotona curzoniae (black-lipped pika)
Lineage: Eukaryota; Metazoa; Chordata; Mammalia; Lagomorpha; Ochotonidae
Exons: 3
Source: RefSeq, a predicted model, not a curated record